RNAcentral lists this ribosomal RNA (253 nucleotides) under uncultured bacterium. Its description in RNAcentral is "partial 16S ribosomal RNA". It matches the Rfam family "Bacterial small subunit ribosomal RNA", at positions 524 to 776 of the family's 1533-position model. The record is from RNAcentral.
UACGUAGGGUGCAAGCGUUGUCCGGAAUCAUUGGGCGUAAAGAGCGUGUAGGCGGUCCGGUAAGUCGGCUGUGAAAGUCUAGGGCUCAACCCUGGGAUGCCGGUCGAUACUGCCGGACUAGAGUUCGGAAGAGGCGAGUGGAAUUCCCGGUGUAGCGGUGAAAUGCGCAGAUAUCGGGAGGAACACCGAUGGCGAAGGCAGCUCGCUGGGACGUUACUGACGCUGAGACGCGAAAGCGUGGGGAGCAAACAGG